AUCACUUCUCAGCCUUUUGGUUAAGAUCAAGUGUAGUGUCUUGUUAUUAGUUUAAUAUCUGAUAUAUCCUCUACCCAAGGACAAUAUAUUAAAUGGAUUUUGGAGUAGGGAUUCGCAAUAGGAGUUUGCACCAUAUUGGUCCAUGCAUUGACCUGGUAUUGUACUACCUACAGGAAUGGCAUACUCUUU
Suncus etruscus (white-toothed pygmy shrew) is the source of this 189-nucleotide small nuclear RNA. RefSeq annotates it as U2 spliceosomal RNA. The transcript has a single exon. The record is from RefSeq and is a predicted model, not a curated record. Lineage: Eukaryota; Metazoa; Chordata; Mammalia; Eulipotyphla; Soricidae.